RNAcentral lists this long non-coding RNA (401 nucleotides) under Paramuricea clavata. Lineage: Eukaryota; Metazoa; Cnidaria; Anthozoa; Malacalcyonacea; Plexauridae. The record is from RNAcentral.
UUGCUAUUCUCCUACUUUCUCAAUUCAAGAAAAUUAAAUUACAGAAUUCUAAUAUCAAAAUAAACAGGAUUAAAGAAUGUAUUAUAUGGAAUCUGAAACUAAUUUGUACCUACAGUAUAUACAGUUUAAUCGUUGAGUUACUCAUGCAGAGCCUUCUUUAUAUUUUUAAUACGACUUUAAUAUGGUACUGCAAAUUGCACUAAUGUUGUUUGGGAUUCGGUUGUCCUUAAAAACAAGAAAUUGUAGGACUGCCAAUCUUAGCUCGUGUUGUUUGGGAUAAUCAAAAUCCAUUAAGGGCUAAAAGGCAACAACAGCUUCUGCUAUUUUACCAACAUCGGUACGCAGCAAAAUGUGUUUUCCAACAAUGAGAUAUAUACUUUCCUGAUCAAUCAGGAUGACAG